RNAcentral lists this ribosomal RNA (465 nucleotides) under Vreelandella stevensii. RNAcentral's name for it is "partial 16S ribosomal RNA". It matches the Rfam family "Bacterial small subunit ribosomal RNA", at positions 338 to 795 of the family's 1533-position model. Lineage: Bacteria; Pseudomonadati; Pseudomonadota; Gammaproteobacteria; Oceanospirillales; Halomonadaceae. The record is from RNAcentral.
CCUACGUGAGGCUGCAGUGGGGAAUAUUGGACAAUGGGCGAAAGCCUGAUCCAGCCAUGCCGUGUGUGUGAAGAAGGCCUUCGGGUUGUAAAGCACUUUCAGUGGGGAAGAAAGCCUUGGGGCUAAUACCCUCGAGGAAGGACAUCACCCACAGAAGAAGCACCGGCUAACUCCGUGCCAGCAGCCGCGGUAAUACGGAGGGUGCGAGCGUUAAUCGGAAUUACUGGGCGUAAAGCGCGCGUAGGCGGUCUGAUAAGCCGGUUGUGAAAGCCCCGGGCUCAACCUGGGAACGGCAUCCGGAACUGUCAGGCUAGAGUGCAGGAGAGGCAGGUAGAAUUCCCGGUGUAGCGGUGAAAUGCGUAGAGAUCGGGAGGAAUACCAGUGGCGAAGGCGGCCUUCUGGACUGACACUGACGCUGAGGUGCGAAAGCGUGGGUAGCAAACAGGAUUAGAUACCCCGGUAAUC